Molecule: microRNA precursor, 86 nt
Filed under: Strigamia maritima
Lineage: Eukaryota; Metazoa; Arthropoda; Chilopoda; Geophilomorpha; Linotaeniidae
Description: microRNA mir-190
Rfam family: mir-190 microRNA precursor family (bases 5-81)
Source: RNAcentral
CACUUGUUCAGUAAGAUAUGUUUGAUAUUCUUGGUUGUGGAUUACCAUUCAACCAAGAAUCAGACAUAUAAGUACUGAGGCGUGUA